This 586-nucleotide ribosomal RNA is filed under the name Tetrahymena pyriformis. RNAcentral's name for it is "partial ribosomal RNA". Lineage: Eukaryota; Ciliophora; Oligohymenophorea; Hymenostomatida; Tetrahymenidae. The record is from RNAcentral.
AGUAGACCGUCCGGACUUUUGAGACUUAGAGAAAAUUUUUCUGGCAAAAAAAAAAAAAAAAGUAUCAGGGGGGUAAAAAUGCAUAUUUAAGAAGGGGAAACAUCUCCGGAUAAAAAAUAAAAUAUCAGUUCGAUCUGAACAUCAGUAAGAUGUCCUUUUGGGAAACCAAGGAUGACGAUAAUGAAGUUCUAACUGAACAGUAUUUUUCUCUAUGGCUUCUGCGUUAAGCUGAAUGCCUCUGAGUGUCUGGUGAACCUUUAACUGGAUUACGGCUCGUAUUAGUGCAAAUGGCCUGACUGAAAUUUUCAUGAUGGCUGUGACGUCGUUCGCUGCAAAGGAUUCGCAAGAAACCUUUCCCAGUGAGAGUUGUUGUAUCGAUAUCUUUGCAGAUAUUGUUACAAAUAACAGCGACACGCUAGUACUGUUAUAAAUCGGUGAAAUCGCUGAUAUUAUUAACAGCUAGCAACAAAGUUGACUUGAGUCCGAAGAGAUGCGAUUGAGUUUUUCUCAUUGUACCUUCGAAGAUUCUUGCAACUAGAAGAAACAGAUAGUAAACGAAACGUAGCGGGAUCUAUGUGUAAAGCUU